Molecule: non-coding RNA, 1428 nt
Organism: Hydra vulgaris (swiftwater hydra)
Lineage: Eukaryota; Metazoa; Cnidaria; Hydrozoa; Anthoathecata; Hydridae
Source: RefSeq, a predicted model, not a curated record
AUAAAAGAAACAAUUUUUAGAUAAAAUAAAAAUAAAAUUUUUUACAGGAGAAAUGUUUUUUAUUCUCUAGUAAAAUUUUAAUUUUGUGACUUGUCACAUCUUCAAAAUACAGCACUCAAUUAAACUAUUAUGUUUUUUUGGAGCUACCCAUUUAAUUUUUCUGAAACUUAUGUUUUUCUUAGUGUUCGUUCUUAGUCAUCCUUAAUAAUAAGAUCCGUACUAACAUGUAUAAUAGGCUCCAUACUAAUAUCCAAUUUAACUAAUAGCUAAGUUUUAAAAGAUUUUGACAUUGAAAGCAUGUACAAUCUUAGCUUUUCCAUUACAGUAGAUAGUAAUUUUAAACAUUUUGUAAAAACCAUUGUUAAAAAUGCUCAGGGUAAUUCAUCUGAUUUUUCAAAAAAGUCAUUGAUUUUUAUAUAAAUAGUUGGCUAUGAACUCUGUUGGAGAAACAUUGUUUUAAUAUGAAUUUUUUUUGUUGUACAGUGCAAUCUGUAUUUUAUAAGAUACACAAAACAAUUCUCGUUAAUGCGUAAGCUUAAACAUUAACGAGAAUUGUUUUGUGUCAGAAAUUGAAUGCACACCUGCAAAUUUCAUAAUUCAUAAAAGUAAUAAUGAUCCAUUAGCAAGUAUAUAUUUUUAUCAUUAAAAAUUUGACCCUCUUUCUUUAUUUUUAUCUGUUUUAUUAGUGAUUGUUGUAUUUACUUUCAUAAAUUCUAAAUAUAAUAUGUAACUAGUUGUAUAGUUUCUUAAUAAUAUAAUUAGCUUUAAUGUUCAAGAUAAAGUUGCAUCCUUGACAGAUAUGCUGGUAUUAUUGGCACAACGGGCAAGCAUUGAAGUGCAACUUGGUGAACUACAAAACACAUCAAAUUCAGUUAUAAAAGUUUGAGUAACAAAGGUAUGCUAAUUAUUGUAUUGCCUGAAAGAGUGUCAUUGCCAUUAAAAGCAGUAAAGAAUUCAAGUACUCUGCAAGAAAGAAGACAAUAAAAUACGUUAGUAAAUGGUUAAUUAUUUGGCACAAAUUGGAAUUAAAAACAAAGGAGAUUGUAUAUGUUAUUUACUAAGAAUUGUUUUUUAAAAUGGCCAAGCUGUGAAAUUAAACUAUACAGGGAGAGGACAAAAAAUUGGAAUAGGAAAAAUGUUGGUUGCAUAUGUUGCUAUUGAAACUGCUAAGUCAAAUAAGCAUGGCUUAUGCAGUCAUGUGAUAGAGAUUGGGGAAGAAAAAAUAAUAAUCGUGGGCACCAAAUAUUAAAAGCUAAACAAUAUUCAAUAACAAGUAGCACAGCCAAUAUUGAAACUACUCUAUAAACUUUAUAGUGAAUUUUUUUUAUUUAAAAUUCAAUGUGUCAGUUUUUGGUUUAAGUUUGGUGUUUGCAAUAUGUAUAUUUAAUCGAGAAAUUAUGUUAAAUAAAUAAAUUUUUAUACUUGUAU